RNAcentral lists this ribosomal RNA (468 nucleotides) under uncultured bacterium. RNAcentral's name for it is "partial 16S ribosomal RNA". It matches the Rfam family "Bacterial small subunit ribosomal RNA", at positions 28 to 507 of the family's 1533-position model. The record is from RNAcentral.
GACGAACGCUGGCGGCGUGCUUAACACAUGCAAGUCGAACGGACAGGCCCUGCUAUUGUGGGGUGCUCGAGUGGCGAACGGGUGCGUAACACGUGAGUAACCUGCCCUUGACUUUGGGAUAACUUCAGGAAACUGGGGCUAAUACCGGAUAGGAGCUCCUGCUGCAUGGUGGGGGUUGGAAAGUUUCGGCGGUUGGGGAUGGACUCGCCGCUUAACAGCUUGUUGGUGGGGUAGUGGCUUACCAAGGCUUUGACGGGUAGCCGGCCUGAGAGGGUGACCGGCCACAUUGGGACUGAGAUACGGCCCAGACUGCUACGGGAGGCAGCAGUGGGGAAUAUUGCACAAUGGGCGGAAGCCCGAUGCAGCAACGCCGCGUGCGGGAUGACGGCCUUCGGGUUGUAAACCGCUUUCGCCUGUGAUGAAGCGUGAGUGACGGUAAUGGGUAAAGAAGCACCGGCUAACUACGUG